GAUGAACGCUAGCGGCAGGCCUAAUACAUGCAAGUCGAGGGGCAGCACGGGUAGCAAUACUUGGUGGCGACCGGCGCACGGGUGCGUAACACGUAUACAAUCUGCCUUUAACAGGGGGAUAGCCCGGAGAAAUCCGGAUUAAUACACCAUAACAAAUUGACUGGCAUCAGUUGAUUUUGAAAGCUCCGGCGGUUAGAGAUGAGUAUGCGUCUGAUUAGCUAGAUGGUGAGGUAACGGCUCACCAUGGCGACGAUCAGUAGGGGAUCUGAGAGGAUUCACCCCCACACGGAUACUGAGACACGGAUCCGACUCCUACGGGAGGCAGCAGUAAGGAAUAUUGGACAAUGCCCGCAAGGGUGAUCCAGCCAUGCCGCGUGCAGGAAGACGGCCCUAUGGGUUGUAAACUGCUUUUACACCGGAGAAAACCUUCCCUCGUGAGGGGAGCUGAUAGUAUGGUGAGAAUAAGCAUCGGCUAACUUCGUGCCAGCCGCCGCCGUAA
RNAcentral lists this ribosomal RNA (499 nucleotides) under uncultured bacterium. Its description in RNAcentral is "partial 16S ribosomal RNA". It matches the Rfam family "Bacterial small subunit ribosomal RNA", at positions 28 to 523 of the family's 1533-position model. The record is from RNAcentral.